GAUGAACGCUGGCGGCGUGCCUAAUACAUGCAAGUCGAGCGAACGGACGAGAAGCUUGCUUCUCUGAUGUUAGCGGCGGACGGGUGAGUAACACGUGGAUAACCUACCUAUAAGACUGGGAUAACUUCGGGAAACCGUAGCUAAUACCGGAUAAUAUUUUGAACCGCAUGGUUCAAAAGUGAAAGACGGUCUUGCUGCCACUUAUAGAUGGAUCCGCGCUGCAUUAGCUAGUUGGUAAGGUAACGGCUUACCAAGGCAACGAUGCAUAGCCGACCUGAGAGGGUGAUCGGCCACACGGGAACUGAGACACGGUCCAGACUCCUACGGGAGGCAGCAGUAGGGAAUCUUCCGCAAUGGGCGAAAGCCUGACGGAGCAACGCCGCGUGAGUGAUGAAGGUCUUCGGAUCGUAAAACUCUGUUAUUAGGGAAGAACAUAUGUGUAAGUAACUGUGCACAGCUUGACGGUACCUAAUCAGAAAGCCACGGCUAACUACGUG
Molecule: ribosomal RNA, 497 nt
Filed under: uncultured bacterium
Lineage: Bacteria
Description: partial 16S ribosomal RNA
Rfam family: Bacterial small subunit ribosomal RNA
Source: RNAcentral